UCAGGUCUUCAGCAGAAGCAGGGCAGUUCUCCCAGUGGUUUUCCUUGACUGUGAGGAACUGGCCUGCCGCUUUGCUGGGGAGUGAGCU
This 88-nucleotide microRNA precursor is filed under the name Cebus imitator (Panamanian white-faced capuchin). Its description in RNAcentral is "microRNA 298 (ENSCCAG00000020023.1)". It matches the Rfam family "mir-298 microRNA precursor family". Lineage: Eukaryota; Metazoa; Chordata; Mammalia; Primates; Cebidae. The record is from RNAcentral.